CCUACGGGGGGCAGCAGUGGGGAAUUUUGGACAAUGGGCGAAAGCCUGAUCCAGCAAUGCCGCGUGCAGGACGAAGGCCUUCGGGUUGUAAACUGCUUUUGUACGGAACGAAACGGUCUCUUCUAAUAAAGGGGGCUAAUGACGGUACCGUAAGAAUAAGCACCGGCUAACUACGUGCCAGCAGCCGCGGUAAUACGUAGGGUGCGAGCGUUAAUCGGAAUUACUGGGCGUAAAGCGUGCGCAGGCGGUUAUAUAAGACAGAUGUGAAAUCCCCGGGCUCAACCUGGGACCUGCAUUUGUGACUGUAUAGCUAGAGUACGGUAGAGGGGGAUGGAAUUCCGCGUGUAGCAGUGAAAUGCGUAGAUAUGCGGAGGAACACCGAUGGCGAAGGCAAUCCCCUGGACCUGUACUGACGCUCAUGCACGAAAGCGUGGGGAGCAAACAGGAUUAGAUACCCCAGUAGUC
Molecule: ribosomal RNA, 465 nt
Filed under: uncultured bacterium
Lineage: Bacteria
Description: bacterial SSU rRNA
Rfam family: Bacterial small subunit ribosomal RNA
Source: RNAcentral